Oxyura jamaicensis (ruddy duck) is the source of this 542-nucleotide long non-coding RNA. RefSeq lists it as uncharacterized. The record is from RefSeq and is a predicted model, not a curated record. The transcript is spliced from 4 exons. NCBI's taxonomy places the organism in Eukaryota, Metazoa, Chordata, Aves, Anseriformes, Anatidae.
UUUCUUAGCUUUGCUAUAUGAAGACCCAGCCCAUCUGUCACCUUGACUGCAAAGCUGUAAUUUUAAUGUUUGGCUCUGUAAAUGUUUAAAACAUCAUUCCAUUAUUUACAAAGGGAAGGAUACAUCUAAUAGAGUGCGGCUGAAAGAGAACUGUCUCAGCUCACUUGUCUUUACUCCAAGACUUUUGCUGCUUUGUGUCUCUGUUUUCAACUGAAAUGGUAUCACAACAGUGGAGUAAAUGCUGCAUUACACUGCAGUAUCCAUUUUGGACAGCUCUAUUCUCUUGCUUGCUUUGCUUUUCAGAAAUUCAGAAUGUACAAAGGAUGUUGUCUGCAUUCCCUUGGGAAAGACUGAAACUUGUUGCAAUUGUGAAGAUGAUCAGCAGCUCUCCAUGAAAUAUCCCAAUCCACUAAGGGUUAGAGCUUCAGAAAGCUUAAAAUCACUUUACAAGACUUCGUAACAGACUCCCCAUCUCUGAUGACAUUAGUCAGAGACUGAAUACUUUGAAGUGUUUGAAACAAGAAUUAAUUCUUAGAAGUGGA